UUAAUUUUUUUAAUUUAAAUAGUUUAUAUUAAAGUAAAUAGUUAGGAAAUAUUUAGUUUAGAUUGUACUGAAAAGGAAAAAUUUAUUUAUUUAGGUUUAUGUUUAGUAAAAUUUAAUUUUUGUACCUUUUGCAUAAUGGUUUAAUAAUAUUAAUUGAUGUAUGUAUUUAUUUCUCGAAAUAAAAAGAUUUAUUUAUUUAUAUAUAUAGUUAACGUGGUAUAGUUAUUAUUUUAAAAUUAAAUGGUAGUGAAAUGCUAAUCGAUUUUUAUGAUAGCUAGUUUAUUGAUGUUUAUUUAAGUAUAAGUUAAAUUUGGAUUAUUGUGGUAAUUUGUUUUGAUUAAUAUAUGGAGGGAUAAGCUUCUUAUGUUUUGUAAAAUUAUAACUAUUAAUAUUAAAAUUUGAGUUGGAUUAAUAAUUUUUCUUGUAAGUAGUUUUUAUAAUAUUAAGUGAUAAAUUUUUAUUAUGGUAAAAUAAAUUGUUUUUAAUUUUAUAAAAUUAUAUAUAAUGUUAGAAUGAGUAUUUAUUUAUGAUUAGAAUGAAAUAUUUGAUAUAUAUAUAUAUAUAUAAAGUGUAGUUUGUAUAUUGUAAUUAUUAAAUGGAGUUAAAUGGAAUAAAGGAAUUCGGCAAAAAUUAAUUUCGCCUGUUUAUCAAAAACAUGUCUCUUUGAAUUUUUUUAAUAAAGAGUUGGGCCUGCUCGGUGAAUGUAGUUUAACAGCUGCGGUAUUAUAACUGUACUAAGGUAGCAUAAUAAUUUGCCUUAUAAAUUAGGGCUAGAAUGAAUGGUUUGACGAGAAUUUAACUGUCUCUAUUUUAUUUAUUAGAAGUUAAUUUUUAUAGUGAAAAAGCUUGGAUGAUUUAAAGGGACGAGAAGACCCUAUUGAGCUUGAUAUUAAUAUUUAAAUAUAGGGUUUUAUGUUUAUAAUUAAUUAUUUAUUAUAUAAAUGUUUAUUGGAGUGUAAUUUUGAUUGGGGUGAUCAAGGAAUAAAAAUUUAAUUUUGUAACUUCCUUAAAGUAGAUUUAUUUUAUUGAAUAAUAAACCAAAAUUUUUUGCUUAUAUGAUAAGUUACCAUAGGGGUAACAGCGUAAUUUUUUUUAAGAGUUCAUAUUGAAAAAAAAGAUUGCGACCUCGAUGUUGGAUUAAAAAUAACCUUAAGGUGUAGAGGCUUUAUUAGGUGAAUCUGUUCGAUUUUUAAAAUUUUACAUGAUCUGAGUUCAAACCGGUGAAAGCCAGGUUGGUUUUUAUCUUUUAAAUUUUAUUUUUAAUUUAAUUUAGUACGAAAGGAUUGAUUAUAAUUAAUUAUUAAGUAUUAAUUAGAAUAAA
Molecule: ribosomal RNA, 1321 nt
Filed under: Scaeurgus unicirrhus
Lineage: Eukaryota; Metazoa; Mollusca; Cephalopoda; Octopoda; Octopodidae
Description: 16S ribosomal RNA
Rfam family: Bacterial large subunit ribosomal RNA (bases 1074-1234)
Source: RNAcentral